GACACAUUUUCGAAUUCUUGAAAUGUCUUCUGGAUAAACUCGACAGCAUCCACCUAUUAUUGAGGCACCUAAGCCUAUCCAUUCAGAAACGCCAGAUCUCGGAAAUGGGUGGUGCAAUUUAAGCCAAAUUUUGUGUGCUCUCUUAUAGUAACCUAAAAUCAAAAUUUCGGAUGGGGUACCUAGGGAGGCCGCCCGAAAUCUAACCAAAAAUAUAUAUAGACCAAUCACGACAAUAUGGGACUCAAAUGAAAGGUAUUUAAGAUUAGAGAA
Molecule: long non-coding RNA, 270 nt
Organism: Stomoxys calcitrans (stable fly)
Lineage: Eukaryota; Metazoa; Arthropoda; Insecta; Diptera; Muscidae
Exons: 2
Source: RefSeq, a predicted model, not a curated record